RNAcentral lists this unclassified non-coding RNA (625 nucleotides) under Russula sp. 1 g3-10-1. RNAcentral describes it as "partial contains 18S rRNA, ITS1, 5.8S rRNA, ITS2 and 28S rRNA". Lineage: Eukaryota; Fungi; Basidiomycota; Agaricomycetes; Russulales; Russulaceae. The record is from RNAcentral.
CGAUUUGAGGUCAAGGUUUUCUUUUGUGGGACCAGCCUCUCCCGCCAAAGUAGACGGCAAAGACCAGAGCACCAUCGUUGUCCAUGGGACAGUUAGGAGCAGGCAUCCAAAGGGACAGUGCUAAAUCCAAAACGUAGAAACAUCUUAUCACGUCAAGGACCAGCAAAGCAGACCCCCACUAAUUCAUUUAAGAGGAGCUCACUUUCCAAGAUGAAAGGCAAGCAUUGAACCUCCAAAUCCAAAAAUCCUUUUUCAGCAAAAGCAGAAAAAGGUUUUUGAUAAUUUCACGACACUCAAACGGGUGUGCCCCUCGGAAUGCCAAGGGGCGCAAGGUGCGUUCAAAGAUUCGAUGAUUCACUGAAUUCUGCAAUUCACAUUACGUAUCGCAUUUCGCUGCGUUCUUCAUCGAUGCGAGAGCCAAGAGAUCCGUUGUUGAAAGUUGUAUUGAUUGCGUGUGAUCGCAAAAGAAGACAUUCUACACUGUAUCUAGUUUUGUGUGAAAACGCAAGCCCUCCUGCAAAAGGUGGACCCACGCGGUGAUGCACAAAGGGGUGAGAUGGAUGUGUGAGAGUGCUCGGGCGUGCACAACCUUUUUUGAAAAGUCAGCGACAGCCUUCACACCUCA